This is a long non-coding RNA of Bombyx mori (domestic silkworm), 11128 nucleotides long. RefSeq lists it as uncharacterized. Lineage: Eukaryota; Metazoa; Arthropoda; Insecta; Lepidoptera; Bombycidae. The transcript is spliced from 3 exons. The record is from RefSeq and is a predicted model, not a curated record.
AUUGACAACCGGUGAGAUCAUCAGACGAACAGUCAAUCUUCGAUUCUUACUGGAGGAUUGGGCGUGAUAUUUAAAAAUCAUCUGAAGCUGUUCGCUUCGUGAAUGUUUAUAUAAAAUUGUCAACGGUCGAGGAUGAAAUAUACGGACGAGGACAUGGAAGUUGAUUUGUGGGAGCUAUUUUUGAGAAAACAUUUGAAGAGCAUGGAAUGGCACGUGCGACUGGGACGGACGCAGGUGCAAACGGCGCGUUACUUGAUGAACAUAUGGCUCCCAUGCCCCCAUACCAUACGUCGUUGUUAUGAAGUAGAACGUGCCUAUCCGUUCAAACAAUUUAUUUUUAGCGAAAAUGAACAUCUGCCUUCAACAACACGAGGAUAAAGCGCCGCCCACCACGCGACACAUGAGGUUUUCAUUCCUUCUUCAAGCGAAGUAUGAAAGAAUCUCCGGCUUAGCUGCGGUAUUGCUGUUGUCCAUGGACGCCAGUGACCAACCUCUAAGUAAUCCACGUGCUGAUCAGUUUCCGGAGGUAACAAAAACACCGUAAAAUCGAAAGGUAAAACUGUUUAUUAUGCUUAUGAUAACUGCAGGCUGCAGGCUAUGUUUGUAAAGUAAUUUGGUACUGUGAGAGAAUAUUAUUUGAUUUAUGAUAAUUUUAUGUGAUACCUAAUAGUCUGUUCUUUUUUUAUUUUUAUUGCCCUUGUACACAGACGAGCAUUCCGCCCACCUGAUGGUGAGUGGUUACCGCCGCCCAUGGACUUCAGCAAUGCCAGGGGCAGAGCCAAGCCGCUGCCUACCGCUUAAUAGUCGUCGUGGUCGUCUUAUGAAGUCGUCGUGGCCUAAAGGAUAAGACGUCCGGUGCAUUCGUGUUGAAGCGAUGCACCGGUGUUCGAAUCCCGCAGGCGGGUACCAAUUUUUCUAAUGAAAUAUGUACUCAACAAAUGUUCACGAUUGACUUCCACGGUGAAGGAAUAACAUCGUGUAAUAAAAAUCAAACCCGCAAAAUUAUAAUUUGCGUAAUUACUGGUGGUAGGACCUCUUGUGAGUCCGCGCGGAUAGGUACCACCGCCCUGCUUAUUUCUGCCGUGAAGCAGUAAUGCGUUUCGGUUUGAAGGGUGGGGUAGCCGUUGUAACUAUACUGAGACUUUAGAACUUGUAUCUCAAGGUGGGUGGCGCGUCUACGUUGUAGAUGUCUAUGGGCUCCAGUAACCACUUAACAUCAGGUGGGCUGUGAGCUCGUCCACCCAUCUAAGCAAUAAAAAAAAAAAAAAAAAAAAAUAAUACUCUCCACAAGCCUCGUUUGAAGAAGGACAUAUCAUAGCGCUCGGGAAACACCGUGGAGGGGAGCUCAUUCCAUAGCCGAAUGGUACGUGGCAAAAAAGACCUCUGGAAACGCACUGUGGAUGCAGGUAGUAUGGAUGAACUCUACUCCGGUGGCGGGCGGUGCGAUGGUAAAAACGAGAAGAUCAUAAGUCAAAAGAUGCACAUAGAGAACCCCAGUCACCUCCAGCAGCUAAUAGCACAUUCUCAUCUUCCAUUCAUAGUAGUAUUGCCAUACUAAUUUCUUACCAGCCAAUUCCAGGCCUACCAUCGGUCAUAAAUAACGAUACAGUCAAGAUAAAGAGUCAUUAUUAAGUAAUAGGAUAAUUAACAGUAAUCGUUCACGAAAUUAAUAUUUUUAAGUCUACAAUCACAGCUGGGAAUCAUUACCAUUAUUAUUGAAACUAUUUCAACGAUAUUAUGCUUUAUACUUCACUAUUGUAUUUUCAAGGACUAUCAGAUAAUUCCCAUUUGUUAUUACGUGAUAAUUUACGCCGGGGUAGUGGUGUGUUUAGCACUUGCGCAGGCGCGUGUGGCUCUUACAUCAGUCUACACAUCUGUCCAUAUUUUACAGUCCAUGUUUACGGAACAGCUUCGCGGCUCGGUGUCUGCUAAAUUAUCUGGCAUUGUACUAAAAUACAUCGACCAGUAUAAAAUUUGAUGUGGUAAGUCAUCAUAUAUUUUCUAUCUAUUAUUCGUUCACCUAUAGCUUACUUCUAGUAAAUGUUUUGUAUUUUUGCACUUCUAUUGUAUGCGGUGUUGGUUCGAACUGUCUAAUAAAUAUAUGUACAUUCAUAUAAUUAUAAAAAAAGAAUGUUUUUUUGUUCGAGAUCUAUGAUUUUAACAUGAACAUGAAUUUUAACAUGAAUGAUUGAACUGAAAUUCUGUACAAUUAGGGAAAUGUUUUUGUAAUAAUGGGCAUUGACGUAAAUAUGCAUUAAUUUAAGAAAUUAUUUAUAAAUUGUUUAAAUACUCACUGUAGUUAUUUUUUAGUAAUAAACUGAAAAUUAAUUAAAAAUAGCCUUUCAAGGAUAUGUGAUAUCAGCAAUGGUAUAAAGUAGAGCCUGAAAAAUAGUGGUUUCCAAAAUUUUUUACCUGCGCUAUGGCUGUCAUUCAACCUUCUAUCAAUAUCACUCGUUCAUAUAAUAAAUAAUGUAUAUUUUUAUACGAACUAAGUAUAAUCUCUCUGAAAGCAUCUUUGGAUUGUUAUAAACCGCAUUGAUAUAAAGUCGUAACAGUAUUCAAUUCAUGACUACCUCCAUUUUUUUUAUUUGAAAUUAAAAAAAGUGUUUUGAGGAUAACACUCAGAUCAUACAACACAUUUGAGUGCAUAGAAGUAAUAUUUAAAAUUUAAUAAGUAAUAAUAAUUAGUAUUAUUACUCUAAGUUUGAGUGGUACACAGAACAGCUAAAGUACCUAUCUAUUUGAGUAAAUGACGUAAUUUGAGGACAAGCAAAGAUCAAAGAUUAAUUGAAAAUACCGGUAAAUAAAGAGUAUUUAUUGAUUUAUGUGUUUCAAUUCAAUUAAUAUAAAUGUAUUUGUUAAAUAUUUUUUAUUAUUCUAAAGAAAAAUAUUAACAGAAUUAUGAACUUUUAGAAACGACAUUGCAUUUAUAAUAUUAAAAUAAGUAGGUAUUUUAAUAUUAUAGAAUCGCUCUAGUAAUCAGAAUCGCUUAGGUGUAAAACCUUGACUGAUUCGGUCGAGGUUGUAAAUCCAAUCGCUCGUUGCGUCAAUAAAUUCUCAGAGAACUUCCAAAAGUUUUUAGAUUUGAUAAAUCACCGGGGGCAGUGACACAGUUCCGUUGUCAGCAACCGUAAAUAAAUGCCUCCAUUAUUAUUGUCUGUCUGUAAUAAUUUCCCCAAAAUAGUGCCGUUAGGUUCAUGACACUUUGAACACAAUAGCUGUACCAAAAACGUUACUUAAUAUAACAAACACAGCAUAAAAUACCCUUUUUGUAAACCAUUGGUGCGAAAAUCGAUAUUAAGUAUACCUACCUAUGUACUUAGAAUACCUACCUACUGAAACGACCUAUUUUUAUGAAACUUUAUUUUCCUAGCACGUGAUGAAUAGAAAAUAGACGUUAAUUAGACGUUAGACAAUAAUUAAUCAUGAUCGUCACGACAAAAAUUUUAAUAGGUAAAAAUAUAUUUGCACACAAAGCAACGGUUAAUCUUUAUAUGGCGUCGCUUUGAUGUGCAAUUUAUUUUUUAUAACGGAAAUUGUCCCAUCUCUGACCAAGGCUGUCGCGGGUUAACAGCUAGCAUGCCAACUUAGACUGGCUUGGUAUACUUGAAGCGUAAUAUAUUUUGUGUACGUAACAUAACAAGCACGUUUGUAACACAGCGGAUGUCAUAUGCCUGUGACUUGAUUGCGAAUGUGGUAAUCGCUAGAGACCUCAGUCGAAGCAGUUGACAGAAAACUCUUCGAUAAGGAGGGUCUUCGUUACUGAUAUUAUAAAAAAUAUAUAUAAUAUUUAUGUGUUAAAUUCAUGUGAACUCAGCCUGAUGUUAUAGACCCGGGAAAGGGGCCAAUUGAUAUUUGCAAAGUUAAUUCAUCUACAGCGACUUAAAAUUUAUCGAAGAAUAAUUUUCAUCAAUCUAUGCCCAAAAGUAUUUGUGCAAAAACUCACGAUUCCCAGUCCGGAAGAUAUUAUUCAAGACGGCGCAAUACGGGGACGAAGCAAUGACAGCUUGGACGAUGUUUAGCUGGAGAAGAUUGUACAAUCGAAGACUUGGUGAAGUGAGCGACGACUCUCAUGUUGAAUUGCCGGCAGAUACAAGACAAUUAGUUUAUAACGUGUAUAUGUACUUUAGCAGAAAACCCGGAAGAAGUGCGAAAGUGGUCCUGUCAAAGACAGCUAGUGCUACAAUGCUACCGCGUGAUAUUGUUGCUGAAAUCAUAAGGGAUAAAUACCGCGAAUGAACAGUAAGCUUUAGAAUUUACGCGUGUAACUAAAACAAUUUAGAUAUGUAAUUUAUUUGUUUUGAAUUGACUAGACUUAAAUAAAAAAUUAGAAUUAGAACUUUUGAAUUUAGUCUCGUCUCUUCGCAUGUAGCCUAUCAUAGCCCUUUGUAGAAGUGCUAAAUUGUUUCUUAUUUACUAUUUUAAAAUUACCAUUCACCGAAAAUGCUAUUCUAUAAUAUUCUAUUCUCACGAAAUUUUUAACUUAGAUGUCCCGUAGUUUAUUCUGGGCUACAUUAUUUAUUUACUAAUGUAAAGAAGGAUUUAAAGAUGCGACUUCUAUUAAGCAAGAGAGCUCAUAUAAUUUAUUUUAUUAUAUAAACAUUAAAUGAAUCACGACAAGAGUUUACAAUGUGAUUAGAAAAGUAUAAUAACUACAAAGUUAUUAUACUUUUUUAGUCACAUUCUAUCUGUAACUAAAAUAUUAAAACAAUUUAAUAUUAUAGUUUAAGUUUCGCAGACAUAAUUUUAAUUUUAAAGUGUUUUUAAACGUCACAUUCCCAUUGAAAAAAAGAGCUUUUUAACAUAUUUGUUAAUAUGAAAAUAAUUACUUAUAUACUAUAAUAAUAAAUUAUACAUUUUAUUAUAUAAAGUUAACCAAAUUAAAAAUAAACAGCACUGUACAAAUCUUGAUUAAAAUUAAAAUACGUUGUUAAUAGUUUGGUUUUGAGUCAUUCUAACGUACUGUUCUAAUGUGGAUGCAGAGAGAAUGUCUGAGAGGUAUUUUUUGGUCGUCUUGGUCCAUUUUAGAAAUAGCGUAACUUGUUUAUUCAAGCUGUCAUUGGCCGGUUGAGUGAAACAAGAUAAUCAGAUAUGCCGUUUUGUUCUCCGACGCUACAUAACAAAGAAGUAUGAAUUUAAUAAAACUAGUGGUCCCGCAGUAGUUGAAAUUGGACUAUAAUUAAUUGAAAUUAUAAGUUUCAACAUAAUUAUGGUUCUAUUGUUACAGAUUUCGCCAAGACUACACUAUAGACAAAUACUCGUAAUAUUAAAAAUAAACAAUACUAACCUAUUCUCAAUUUGACUACAGACUAUAGGAAAUAAUAACAGUUUGACAAUAAACAAAGAGUAUAUGUGUGUGUGUCAAAUGCAUGGUAGUGUGUGUAAUGUUUUCUUUAUUGAUUUAAUGUAUAUUUUAUGCAAGGAUGGUAGCAAUCUCGAGAGGCUCAUCGUGACUGGUAAGGUAGGUGGGAAAAGACCUCGGGGGCGCAGCCCAAUACGUUGGUCCGACCAGAUCCGCACCGCUCUUGAUUCCACGUUUCACAACGCCCUCCACACUGCCAGAGACAAGAAUGGAUGGAGAAGGAUCGUGCGUGCGAAGGUGAUACAAAAGGGUGGUCACGACCCUCAGCAAUGAGGAAUACGACGCAAGGAGGAGGAUCUUUUAUGCAUUCUUUUAAAAAAUAUUAGCAUUGUGCACUUCUUCUCUACAUUCUCUAUAAGUAUGGAAAAUUUCAUACUCCUCCGUCCGCGCAAUUUUCGUAAAAAGGGAUACAAAGUUUUUUCUUCACGUAUUAAUAUAUAGAUUUUUGCAGUAAACGCGCGUUGCUAAUAAAAAAAAAAACAACCUCGAUGGGUGAAAGUUGUAGCUUGUGACGAAAUUCGCAAGGUAAACAAUAGCUCAUAUAUUUGUUGCUCAUAUAUUCAUAUAUUUGUAUAUUGUGUAUUCUUUUUUACUUUAAAACUUUUUGAAGCACCUAAGAUAAAAACAAUCCUGCCUAAUUCUGUCGCGAAGUCAUACGUUUGUUUUGAAGGGUGGGACAGCUGUUAUGCAAUAUAAUUUGAGACUUCGCCCUCAUGUGUCAAGGUGGGUAGCGGCAUUCGACUUGAGAAGUCUAUGGGUUCACUUGCAGCAAGCUGGGCCUUCAUCUCGUUCACCUAUAUAAGCAAUAAAAAAUUAUAAAGCCAUUUUUGGAUAUGGCAUAUUUUUAUUUAUCUCAAAUACUUUUUAAACAUACUUUACGAAUAAUUUCUAAAUCGAUCCAGUUUUUUUUUUCAUUAAUUGUAAGUAGUUUGCUCCAACAGUUAUUUUCGUAUGUAAUUACAUUUGUUCUGAAGCAACCAGCUCUCGGCUACUGAUAAACAUUAUCUUUGUAUUCUCGACUAGACAUAGAAACUAUAACGGAUAACCGUAAACUCCUCCAUAGUUUUACAGUAUUCUAAUGUUCACUCAUAACAUUUGGAACGGGAUCGAACAGCCGUUAUUUAUGAUAAUGUACAUUAAUCACUUACCUACGUGAUGUGUAUAUUUAAAUGUGAACAAAUAUUGAACACAAACACUGAAACUUCCUAACUGUAUUAUUUUAUAAUGACACUAAUACGUAAAGUGACACAAGGACACGGUGUCAAUUAAAUAGAUAAUAUGCAGUUGGUUAUAUUCACUGUUACAGUUCGAACGACAUUACGUAUUCAUAUGCACAUAUGUGGAGUUGAAAUUAAUCAAAAAUAAACACUGCACACGUGCCAAGUUCUCGGUCGGCAACAUGUAUUCACUACUAAUUACACGGCUAUACUAACUGUUUCAGGCGCCAACACGUGAACCACCUUCACUCUGAUUCACACAGAUCAAGACCGCCUGAGAGUUUCAACACCAAAGAAACGGCUGAAGGUCGCUUAGAAUUCCUGUCUGUACCGGAUAAAUAGCAAUCAUUACGAAGACAAAAAAUGGAGUAUUUUACUUUCCGUAUCUGAAAAGCUCAGCUUCUAGAAAUAAACUAAAGUUUUUUAAAUUCAUUCUGCAGCAACAUACCAAAAAAAACUGAAUAGUUUCAUUAUAUAUAAGGUAAAUAAAAAAAUCACUCUUAUAACAAUACAAGCUUUUAACUGCGGCUUCGCUCGCUUUAAUGUAGAAAAAUAUUCAUCCCCUAGGUAUAAUACUAUUCUGGAUGAAGGUACCAACUCUUAUUGUUCUUUUCUUUGCCCUUCACAAAUUGCAUGCAAAAUCAUUAUUGCUGGUGAGACGUAUUAUGAGCUCGGAUGGGUAGAUAUUAUCAUUCUGACUAUUUCUGCGGCGAAGCAGUCAUGUAUUCUGGUUUGAAGAGUGGGCCAGCCGCUAUACGAUAUAAUAGCGACAUCGACCUCAUGUCUCAAGGUGAGUGGCGGCACUCUUGCUGUCAUGUCCGCCUGCGUACCCACGCACACCGAGUGAGCAGUGAGCUCCUUCACUAAUCCAAGCCGAAACAAACAAAAAAAUCAUGAUAAUCGGAUGAGCAGUUAAGACGUCAAAGCGCAACAAUCACACCAACACACUUUCACAUUUAUAAUAGUAUGAAUUAUGUUCUCGUAUAGCGGGAUUAUUCAAACCACUACUAAUUCGGUGGGAAUAAAAGGGAAUUACCAGAAUAAAUGAGAUAUUCACAGCCCGAUAAUUUAUAAUUGUCUCACGUCAACAACGUAUAUACCUACAAUGAAUGUGAUGACAUACUUUUUUGUUGUGUAAAUAUUACUAAAUGAAUUUAAUUUACUUCUGGUAAAGAAGCAAGCAGUGAUUGGCAAAUAAAAGCUUAUUACUACUUGUACACGGGUAAAUUAUAAUAAUAUUGUAGUAGUAUUUCGAUAUUUGGAAUCACAAGGGAAAUGCAAAAGCAUUCGAUUCUUUGGGUCUUUCACUUAAUAAGAAGUUAGAGCUGAUAUUAAUAAGUAUUUGAUAGCUAAAGUUUCGACUUAGGAAGGCGCGAUGUUAGAGUAUUUUUUUCGAGGAAUCGAAAAAUCGUUAUAAAAAUUUGAUUUGAGUUUUAUGGUACGUAUUUAUUGGAAUCAAUUACUUCUUCGAGUUCAGGGAAUUCCAAGUAAGACGUCAUUUAUAUUUGAUUAACUUCGACUUACGGUCUGAUUUUUAAAUUCGAAUUAUUUGUACUAAAAUGCCUACGCAGCGAAAUAACAUUUUGCAUUCGAGCUGCAAAGUCUAAGUAAUUCGAGAUAUCGAGUAUUAUGGGGCUUAAUGGAAGGGAACGGAAGGAAACGUUUUUUCCCGACUUACUGAGGAUUUCGACUUAUAGAUCCCACGAUAACAGUUAUUUUGAAAUUUUCACAGAUUCACAGGACUUCAUUCACAAACUACAUACGAUAUACGAUUAUCCAUUGAAAACUUAAUGCAUAUUAAAGAACUGCGAUAUCACUAUGAUGUAGGUACCGACAUUUUAUCCCAUUGACACUGGAUACUACUAUAAAAUUCUGUUACUGACACGAAAUUUAUCUUGAUUCGAAUUCCGAAUCAUAUUACAGACAAUAAUUUAGUUUCCUUGUAAGUUUAAAAUACUAAUUCUAUUGCUUGAUAAAAGCGAUAAGAUGUUUUGUGUAUCCUACUCCUUGAGUCGCAUUUCUCAUGUCUGAGGGUCGUGACCAUCUCCACCCGUUAUGCUUCUCUGAAUGAAGUUUGGCCAUCUUCCUCUGUUCUCGGUGGUGUGUAUGGCAUCGUAGACUGUGGUACUGCGGUAUCCAGAGUGUUGUCGAUUUGGUCGGACCAGCGCAUUGGAUAGCGGCCACGAGAUCUUUUGCCUGAAAUCUUGCCAGUUACCAUAAACUUUUCAAGAUUGUCACUACUCUUUCUGGCAAUGUGGCCGAAGAUUUCAAAUAUCCUCUUGACGCAGAUGGUAAAGAGCCUGGAUUGGAUAUUGAGCUGUUUUAAUAUGGAUACUUUACCCUGAUCCAUGUCAUUCCAUGACAUUCGUAGCAACUUCCUCCAGCACUACAUCUCGAAGGCAUCGAUGCGGUGGCGAUCAGCUGGUCUCAGAGUCCACGUCUCAGGACCAUAGAAAAGGAUUAAGAACACCAGAGUCCGGACAAGUCUCAUUUUGGUUUUAAGAUAUAUUUUCCUGUUUAUCCAUGUUCUAUGGAGCUGAGACGUGUCUCAUGAGAUGUCGUCACCCUCACAAGACCCGUUGCCGCAGAUGUUAGCGCCCAGAUAGAUAAAGUCAUCCACUUUUUGUAGGUUGAGCGUGCCAGUUAACGCCAUUUAGUUACCUCGAUCUAUCACCAUUAUCUUGAUCUCGGACUUGUUUAUGGUGAGGCCUAAGCGGUUGCUUACUCUUUCCGUUUUCUCCAUAGCCAUCUCGGACUCACUAGCGGCCACUAGAGUUGUGUCAUCGGCGCUGCUGCGUACCGAAGUUUGGUGAUUUUGGCUCCACCGAUACAGUCGUUCAAUUUGUGGCAUGAUAUAUUCACCGUAGGCAUUGAAGAGGAUGAGCGAGAGAAUACAGCCCUGGCCCUUUCUGAAACAGAAUCUAUUCUGCUAUGUUUUGGUCUAUUCCGACUUCGCCUCUACUCCCAGAGUCCGGUGUAUUCGUGUUGAGCGAUGCACCGUUGUUCGGAUCCUAGGAGGAUACCAAUUUUUCUAAUGAAAAAAUGUACUUACGUAAGUACGUUUUUGUUCACGAUUGACUUCCACGGUGAUGGAAUAUCAUCGUGUAAUAAAAAUCAAACCCACAAAAUUAUAAUUUGCGUAAUUACUCGUAGUAGGACCACUUGUGAGUCUGCACGGGUAGGUACCACCACCCUGCCCGUUUCUGUCGUGAAGCAGUAAUGUGUUUCAGUUUGAAGGGUGAGGCAGCCGUUGUAACUAUACUGAGACCUUAGAACUCAUAUCUCAGGGUGGGUGGCGGCAUUUAUGUUGUAGGUGUCUAUAGGCUCCUUAGAACUCAUAUCUCAGGGUGGGUGGCGGCAUUUAUGUUGUAGGUGUCUAUAGGCUCUGGUAACCACUUAACACCAGGUGAGCUGUGAGCUCGUCCAUCCAUCUAUGCAAUAAAAAAGGCCUUGAAGAUUGGAAUUAGGUGUUUUGGGACACCUAUCUCGGCCAAUAACUUCCACAGAGAUCUCUAAUGCUGUGUGCAUGUCGAAAGCCUUUCUGUAGUCCACAUAAUAUUAUAAUAGCUCGAUGUUUAUGUUGUAUGUGUAGGUACUAGGACGCGAUAAGUGGCCGAAAUUCUAAUCAUUUCAAGGUACUAUAGCUGUAAUUUAUUGAAAAAGUACGAAGGGACGUGAGUUGCUGCUUUUCGCCGCAAAUAAGAGUAUGAUUUUUUCUUUUACAAUUAGUUACAAUUGUUGUAUCUCGCUGCACACAACCUUUUUUCGUUAAGUCGGUGAAUUAUUUCGUGAACCUACAAUUUGAUUGAUAGAUAUAUACAUAUAUGUCCAAUAGCUGCUGCUGCAGAGCAAUCUACCAGCUUCAUGGCUACUUUAAUGUCAAUAUUUAUUUAUUGCAUAGAUUAGUGACAAGAGAACCUGUUUUUAAACGAUUGCAGGAGCCCAUGGAUUUCAUGCUUUUCAGUGUAUGGAACUAUCUUGAAACAUGAUAGCAUAACGACAACCCCAUCCUUCAAAUGGGAACGCAUUACUAUCGCAAACAAACUUGAAAUGUAGAAAGAUAUCACCUUUACUUAAUUCGAAAUUUUAAAAGUAUGUGUAACUUUAAAGGCGUCCUGAACGUAAUGCCAAGCGUAGAAUCAGCUUCAGUUUUAGUCGUGCAGCCUUCACGCUAGCGUGAGUAGGCGUAGGAAACAAAUAACUAUCGUCUAUUUUUUGUUACUAAGAGGCUGUCAAUAAUAAUAUGGAAAUCAUUCAAAUCAUCAUCAAUGAAAACAUAACAAAGGAGAUCAAAUUUAUUUACUUUACCUAUGUAUGGAGCGAAACAUGACCCCCAUUUUAUUCUAUGUACCAUAUGGCGGACAAAAGUCGAGGCAAUUCGUAUCCAAAAGUAAUUUUUGAAGACAACCACUACAGCAGACUGGAAUGGACUAUUUUAACAUUCAGAAUGGAAACAUUUAUGAGUGUUUGAGGUGUUAGCGAGCUUGUAUGUGCAAUAUUAUAUAACCCAAAUAUAAUAUGUAUGACAAAUAAAGUAACUAUAAUACUA